Molecule: ribosomal RNA, 498 nt
Filed under: uncultured Acaulospora
Lineage: Eukaryota; Fungi; Glomeromycota; Glomeromycetes; Diversisporales; Acaulosporaceae
Description: LSU rRNA
Rfam family: Eukaryotic large subunit ribosomal RNA
Source: RNAcentral
UUCAUGAUUGAACCUGAGUUGUCAAUUGAUUCAUUUUCUAAGAGUCGAGUUGUUUGGGAUUGCAGCUCAAAAUGGGUGGUAAAUUUCACCUAAGGCUAAAUAUCUGCGAGAGACCGAUAGCGAACAAGUACCGUGAGGGAAAGAUGAAAAGAACUUUGAAAAGAGAGUUAAAAAGUACGUGAAAUUGUUGAAAGGGAAACGAUUGAAGUCAGUCAUGCUAGCGAGGAAUCAACUUGGUGGUGUGAGUCUCUCAUCUCCUCCCUGUGCACUUCCUCGUCUGGCAGGUUAGCAUCAAUUUUGAUUGUCAUCAAAUAAUUGGGGUAAUGUGGCUUCGCUUCGGUGGAGUGUUAUAGACCCUGGUGGAUGUGGCGAUUGGGAUUGAGGAUUGCAGCGGAUGCCUCUUGGCUAGUCACCUGGCUUCUGGCGGUCACCUCGCUUUUGACAGCUUGCUGAUGAUCGUGGGACCCGACAGUCUAGAAGUUAGAGUGAUCUUAAAUU